Aplysia californica (California sea hare) is the source of this 613-nucleotide long non-coding RNA. RefSeq lists it as uncharacterized. The record is from RefSeq and is a predicted model, not a curated record. Lineage: Eukaryota; Metazoa; Mollusca; Gastropoda; Aplysiida; Aplysiidae. The transcript has 3 exons.
UGCCACUCUACUCAUCUGAGUUUAUAUAUAAACAAGAGUCCUUUGUUUGCUGUGGAAGCAAAACGUUCUUUCACGAUGCAUGUACUCACAAGUCUCGUUGUUUGUGUGGCUCUCAUCUGUGUGGCCAACACGGCGUUAUGGCAAGGUCACGGAUGCCCAGACGGUCAUAGCCCAGGUGAAACAUUUUAUGUUCCUCACUGUUCACAGUGCACGUGUGGAGAAAGCACUUAUGAAUGCAGCAGCUGUGGCUCUUCGGCAGUUCACCUCGACAGUGAAGAAUGUCAUGUGGAGUUUGACUUGAGCCAGCCUUACCCUGCCUGUUGUCGUCCAAGAAUGAUCUGCAACGAUGGGAAGUGAUAACGGAGGAUGUGACGUUUUGACAUAAUAAAGCCCUAAGACAUGUACUGUUCACACUAGAGAAGACGGGCUUUAAAAUGUACAAAAGAAGUGAAGGAUUAUGUAGGCCUACAUAAAAACACAAGCAGAAACUCAUUAGACAAAAACAGAAAACAACUGCGACCACAGUAAAAUGGGUCAUUGUUUUCUGAAAGUGUGUUUGCAAGCUUUGUGUAAAUAUACAAAAAUAAACCGUGAUCAUGACGAUCAUUAAAAA